UUAUAGCAUUAAGGGCAUGUGCGACCUGGGGCCUGUUGCACAAAAGUAGAAUUAAGACAUCCGGGAUAAAUGACUCAGCUGAGCUCAAUGAAGCCAAAACAUGUGCGUCCAGGCUUAAUUGGUUGCACAAAGACCAAGCCAGGAUGAGCAGACACGGAUUCAUUAAGCCAGGUGAAACCAAUCCUGGAUAGGUGCGCGCUCACGGCUCACUCAAAUAGACCCCGCCACAGAUCACAGAUUAACUGAUUUACCAUGGCAACUAGAGCCGCGUACUUUUCCCCGUCGGAAGCACAAAUCCUCAUGGAGGCAUACGAGGAGGUAAAAGAUAUAAUUAAGAAGAAAGGCAACACCGCCACAGUGAUAAAGCAAAGAGAAAAAGCGUGGCAAAGUAUUGCAGACCGCCUGAAUGCAUUAAACAUGAACGGGCCAAAACGGACAUGGCAGCAGGUCAAAAUCAAAUACAAGAACAUUCUGCAGAAUGCAGUGAAAAAGAAUACCCAGAGACAAGGCACGGGUGGUGGGUCACCAAAGGCUGACCUUACCCCAGCAGAGGACAUGGCCUUGGAGCUAAAUAAAGGCAGGCCCGUCUUAGAGGGGAUCCCUGGGGGAAAGAGACGAGCAUAGGUUCCUCCCAAGAUGCCACCCGCUUCAUUCAAGUGCCUGGCAGCACUGUGUUCCUGUUAGAGCCACCAGCACAAGCACCAGACGAUGCUGAUCCAGGUGAAGGCCCCAGUGCAGCAGCAACAGCACAUGAUGGAGACGAUGAUGAGGAGGAGACAAUCUCUCUGG
This is a long non-coding RNA of Oncorhynchus nerka (sockeye salmon), 789 nucleotides long. RefSeq lists it as uncharacterized. The transcript has 5 exons. The record is from RefSeq and is a predicted model, not a curated record. NCBI's taxonomy places the organism in Eukaryota, Metazoa, Chordata, Actinopteri, Salmoniformes, Salmonidae.